UGAACUCUGGGAGCUUCUGGAGAGAGUCCAACUGUGAAUUUGAAAAGUUUUAAAUCCAGAGAUUACUUCUUGCCCAGCAUCACAAUCCCACAAUUCACUGCAGAGGUUCCUAAGGACAUGUGCAAAGUAAAAUGAAAAUAAUUUUAUGUCGAGAGAACAAAGCAAUUCCCCACACAGCUCAGGAGAGCUGAAGGUUCAGUUGGCAUCCUCCGAUCCCAUGAUCAAGCCAUCUUUUUCUUUUAUACCCAGGAACUCAAAAGCAGAUGCCAGCAAGCUGCCGGCCUCUGGAGGACAAAGGCCUGCCCGCAGGUGCCUGCUCUGAGCUCACUGGGUGCUUGGCCAGCAGGGUUCGCUUUGUUGUAAAAACCUUCAAUCUGCACUAAAGGAACCUGAAUUUCUCAUUGCUUCUGAGACACUGAGAGGAUUCAUGGAAGGCCCCUUUUUAAUUUUCUCAAUGUCCACAUCAAUAUAUGAUCUGAAGCUUGGAAAGACAUCAGGAUGUGGUCCUCCCUCCUGCAGCAUUGGAAUGGCAAUUUCCUCUUUUGUGACCACUUAAUUUCUGCCCCCCACGACCUGUCACUUCCUCCAUCGGUUUUGGCGGCGUUUUCCACAAUCAAUGGUUGUCCAGUGCUUGGCCUCCGGUAAUCCAAUCUCUAUCCCAUCAGAAUAAAUCCACAGCCAUCCUUGGACUAUUCCCCACAGUCAUCACAGCCUAUCUUUUGGGCCCAAUAUGGCAGAAAAAAAAACAUCUUAUUCUUCUGCGAUAAUCAAUCUACUGUGCAUGUUAUUAAUAAAGGCCGUUCUUCUUCCCCUCUCAUUAUGCAACUCCUGCACUGCCUCAUAUUUAUUUCAGUUACUAAUAAUUUAAUCUUGCAAGCCCCCCAUCUUCCAGGUAUAACUAAUAAUGCUGCCGAUGCUCUUUCUCGCCUACAGAUUCCCCGGUUCAGAUGUCUGUUUCCCUCGGCUCAUCCUUUCCCCCUGACUGUUUCUUCAUUCAGUGAUCUAAUACUAAACUAAAGUCUUCUCUUUGUAAUCUCCUCAUUUCUGCACAAUACUAUAUGGCCGCCAUCCUCACUCCUCCUAUGCAACUGGCUGGUCCACCUUCAUGACCUUCUGUAAGCAAAAUAGAAUAUCCCCUUUAACCAGGAUGUAAUUCUAUCUUUUCUCAUUCAGCUGCACCUCUCCCUAGGAACUCUCAAAUCUAGUAGCUGGCAUUCAAUACCACUAUCGUCUCUCAUCUAUUCCUGCUGUUCACUUUCUCCAUCAGGGGAUGGCGAAGAGUGCCCCUCCUCAUCCUUCUUCCCCGUCUCCCCAUCACUACUUGCAUCUCUCAAUCCUCUGUUGAGGCUGUUUUUCUCCUUUUAAUGAUAUAGUCAUGAAAUCUCUGUGUCUGUCUUCAUUCUUUGGUUUUCUCCGCAGUUCUGAAUUCGCUGUCCUCUCUUUCAGUUUUCCAUCCCACAAAACAAUACCACACCUCCCCGCUGUGGCAUAAGCACUCCUUGCUUUUUUCCCUCCAGCCUAGUAACCCUGCCUGUAUUUCAAAGACCUACCUGGAACACAGUAGCGCGUACACUUUAAUAUGCAGAUCCCCGCCCCUGUAGUCAGUGGAAUACCAAUCCCAAACUGACAAGUGUUGCUACAAUUCAUUUGACUCGAGUGACCGGGAUCUACAUACUCACACUUCCACCCCUCACCAAGGUGACACCCCUCAUAAAGAUGACUUCUGUCAUGGUGUGACGGGGUGCCUGCCCCAUAUUUAUAUAUAUUAUUUUGCUGUUAUGAUCUAUUACCGUUUUUAUGUAUAUAUGUAUUUGUUCCGUAUAUUAUUAAUAUGAUUUUGCAUUUGUGUCCUUUGGAUUGGCAGGGAGGGAAAUUCCUCCCUGCCAAAAUACAUGUGAGAAUGUGGCUGGAGCCUUAAUUGAGUAAUUGUUAAUUAUUGAUUAAUUGGGCUCCAGCCACAAACUAUAAAAGUCAGGAGAGAUCCUUUGCCUGGGGAGAGAGCUAAGAGGAGGAGUGUAAAACAAUACUGUGAGUAUAAAGACGAUUGCUACCAACUGAGACAUUUGGGUACUCGUUUUAGUUUCAAGAUUACUUGUUUUGUUCUGUUUUACUUUGGCCUACGUGCCGUUUGUUUUCUGUGUUUAAAAGUAUUUUGUUUGUGUUAAUUUUUCGUUGUUAAAUAAAUACACUGCGCUGCCACGCAGUUUCAGCCCCAUACGUCUGUUUCCUGAACAUUGCUUCCUGGUCUGUGUUGUCACCACACACGCCACUCAAGCCUACCUUGUGACACAUGGUCACAUGAUCUUGGUAAGGGAAGUCCCGACUUAUCUUGGCGCCUUCUACUGUCAGGAGGCUGAAUUACAGACCGAAACCCCUUUGACUCAUCACAGCCUUAUUCAAAUGAUCUCCUCUUUCUUCGUAUCUCUGCCAGGGUCAAUUCGUACACCUCCGUAAACUCAUUCUCCUUUGUCCUAGUUCCUUAUCAAAAAAGUGGGAUGCUGGUCUUUCACUGCAAUGGAAUCUUGAAUUCGGUCUUCACUUCCUGAUAUUUAUUUGGCCCAACAGAAUAUUGCUGGUAUGCCUGGAGUGGGGGCUAUGUCUCCACCAGGACCAGCAGAGGUU
Molecule: long non-coding RNA, 2622 nt
Organism: Acipenser ruthenus (sterlet)
Lineage: Eukaryota; Metazoa; Chordata; Actinopteri; Acipenseriformes; Acipenseridae
Exons: 3
Source: RefSeq, a predicted model, not a curated record